This 296-nucleotide unclassified non-coding RNA is filed under the name Hevea brasiliensis (rubber tree). Lineage: Eukaryota; Viridiplantae; Streptophyta; Magnoliopsida; Malpighiales; Euphorbiaceae. The record is from RNAcentral.
GACUUCAAUAUUGAGGCAUGAUUUGGAUCCAAAAGCUGGCCUACAUUGUCACUGAAUCUUUGCUUCAUUGCACCAUCAUCCAAAGAAUCCCUCUGAAUUGGUAGUUUUAAUCUUUCCUCAUACAUCUUCGUCGCCAAGGCAUUUGCAGUUCCAGGGUUUUGGCGCAAGAGUGGAUCAUUUCCCAUAAGCCCAUUUGUAGUACCAUUUAGAAGGUGGGCACCAUCCCUUCGCUGCUGCUGCUGUUGCUGGGGAGGCUGUUGCUGCUGCUGUUGUUGUUGCUGCUGCUGUUGCUGCUG